Molecule: ribosomal RNA, 492 nt
Filed under: uncultured bacterium
Lineage: Bacteria
Description: partial 16S ribosomal RNA
Rfam family: Bacterial small subunit ribosomal RNA
Source: RNAcentral
AGUGAACGCUGGCGGUAGGCCUAACACAUGCAAGUCGAACGGCAGCACAGUAAGAGCUUGCUCUUACGGGUGGCGAGUGGCGGACGGGUGAGGAAUACAUCGGAAUCUACUUUUUCGUGGGGGAUAACGUAGGGAAACUUACGCUAAUACCGCAUACGACCUACGGGUGAAAGCAGGGGAUCUUCGGACCUUGCGCGAUUGAAUGAGCCGAUGUCGGAUUAGCUAGUUGGCGGGGUAAAGGCCCACCAAGGCGACGAUCCGUAGCUGGUCUGAGAGGAUGAUCGGCCACACUGGAACUGAGACACGGUCCAGACUCCUACGGGAGGCAGCAGUGGGGAAUAUUGGACAAUGGGCGCAAGCCUGAUCCAGCCAUACCGCGUGGGUGAAGAAGGCCUUCGGGUUGUAAAGCCCUUUUGUUGGGAAAGAAAGGCAGCAGGUUAAUACCCCGCUGUUCUGACGGUACCCAAAGAAUAAGCACCGGCUAACUUCGUG